AUCUCAUAUCCACAGAAUCUAUUCUCUGUCUUCAUGAAGCCCAAUCUUAAGUUGACUGAGUCUCACUAUCACCCAGGCUGGAGUGCAGUGGUGUGAUGUUGGCUCACUGAAACCUCUGCCUCCCAGAUUCAAGCAAUUCUUCUGCCUCAGCCUCCUAAGUAGCUGGGACUAUAGGUGCCUGCCACCAUGCCUAGCUAAUUUUUUUUUUUUUUUUUUUUUUUGGUAGUAGAGACGAGGUUUCACUAUAUUGGCCAGACUGGUCUCAAACUCCUGACCUCAUGAUCCACCCACCUCAGCCUCCCAAAGUGCCAGGAUUACAGGUGUGAACCACUGCAUUGGCCAAGUUGCUUGUCUUCUAAAUGUAAGUUUAUCUUCUAAAUUUUCUCUACUGCUUCUCGAAGCCAGAGAUGCGGGAAUUAUCCUGGUGAUCAGGAAGAUCUCAUUCAUCAUCUAUCCUAGCACACCAUUAUCAUUUUUGUUCUGCUAAAACACAAUUCCUUUUACAUAACUCUUUCGUCAACUGCCUUUAAUGGCUUCCCCUUACCCACAAGAAUAGAUGCCAGUUCAGAUUUGAGCUCCUUCGCUGUAGAGAUUUAGCCCUAACUGUACCAAAGAUAGGGUUGCCAGACUUAGCAAAUAAAAAUAGAGGACUUUAUCUGGCAACCUUAAUUGAAGAGUAACUAACUGCAAUAGUAAAACCAUACUACUUUCAAACCAUACAAAUGCCAUAAUUACUAUUCAAAAUCCUAAACAAUCAGUACAGCAUGGAUACUGACCAAUCAGGGUAGACGAAGAUGGUUAACAAGUGAGAGGCUGAACCAAUGCAUCCUCAUAGCAUCACAGCUAUGAGUACAUCCCAGCUCAUACUACCAUCCACAAAAGAAAUGCCCAUUAUCCUCUUCUUUAUCCCUUCAAAUAUUUCCCAUCUUCCAAAGACUUCUUAAUUUUAAUUUUUUGUUUUGUUUGUUAGGUCUCUUGUAUCAAACAAGUUUAAACUCUCUGACCCCUUCUACUGUUCUCCCACAGUUCACUGCCCCAACAUUUUUUUUCCAUUUUUUUCUUAAUUUCUCAAAGACACACCUCACAGGGAAAUUUCAACUUAGUUAAAACUGUCAAUGAUAUUGACUAUAAGCAAGAGUAACUACGUAUUAAUCUGUUUUCAUACUGCUAUAAAGAACUGCUUCAGACAGGGUAAUUUAUAAGGAAAGAGGUU
RNAcentral lists this long non-coding RNA (1213 nucleotides) under Macaca fascicularis (crab-eating macaque). Its description in RNAcentral is "lncRNA (ENSMFAG00000051670.1)". Lineage: Eukaryota; Metazoa; Chordata; Mammalia; Primates; Cercopithecidae. The record is from RNAcentral.